Molecule: non-coding RNA, 585 nt
Organism: Coregonus clupeaformis (lake whitefish)
Lineage: Eukaryota; Metazoa; Chordata; Actinopteri; Salmoniformes; Salmonidae
Source: the annotation of a RefSeq genome assembly
GGUCUGGGAGUGUUUAUAGCCCUGUGAGUUUAACACUUCAUGACUGAGAGCUGUCCUUCAUGACAACAGAACCCACAACAACCAUGACUUUUAUCACCAUCUUUAUCUGGAUAUUUGCCCUCUGUCUCCAAGAAUCCAGAGGCCAGGUCACUGUAACUCAGACUCCUGCAGUGAAAGCUGUUCUCCCAGGACAAACAGUCUCUCUGAACUGUAAAACCAGCAGUGAUGUCUAUAACAAUAACGACCUAGCCUGGUAUCAACAGAAACCUGGAGGAGCUCCUAAACUCCUUAUAUACUAUGCUACAACACUUCAGUCUGGGACUCCAUCUAGAUUCAGUGGCAGUGGAUCUGGGAGUGACUUCACUCUGACCAUCAGUGGAGUCCAGGCUGAAGAUGCAGGAGAUUACUACUGUCAGAGUGAACACUACAUCAACAGUGUCUGGGUGUUCACACAGUGAUACAGAGUCGUACAAAAACCUCCCUCAGUCAGACUGCACAGUGACUGUACUGCUACAGCUGGGACCUACUGCAGGUGCUGAGGGGGAAGAGACAGUGACAUGGAACACUAGAUGAGGUCAACUGUGA